RNAcentral lists this transfer RNA (73 nucleotides) under Caudoviricetes sp. RNAcentral describes it as "tRNA-Ile". It matches the Rfam family "tRNA". From Rfam's summary of the family: Transfer RNA (tRNA) molecules are approximately 80 nucleotides in length. Their secondary structure includes four short double-helical elements and three loops (D, anti-codon, and T loops). Further hydrogen bonds mediate the characteristic L-shaped molecular structure. tRNAs have two regions of fundamental functional importance: the anti-codon, which is responsible for specific mRNA codon recognition, and the 3' end, to which the tRNAs corresponding amino acid is attached (by aminoacyl-tRNA synthetases). tRNAs cope with the degeneracy of the genetic code in two manners: having more than one tRNA (with a specific anti-codon) for a particular amino acid; and 'wobble' base-pairing, i.e. permitting non-standard base-pairing at the 3rd anti-codon position. Lineage: Duplodnaviria; Heunggongvirae; Uroviricota; Caudoviricetes. The record is from RNAcentral.
CGGCGAUUAGCGCAGUUGGUAGAGCGCCUGUCUUAUACACAGCAAGUCACUGGUUCAAUUCCAGUAUCGCCGA